CAGUCGCCACGGUAAUACAGAGGGUGCGAGCGUUAAUCGGAUUUACUGGGCGUAAAGCGUGCGUAGGCGGCUAAUUGAGUCGGAUGUGAAAUCCCCGAGCUUAACUUGGGAAUUGCAUUCGAUACUGGUUAGCUAGAGUGUGGGAGAGGAUGGUAGAAUUCCAGGUGUAGCGGUGAAAUGCGUAGAGAUCUGGAGGAAUACCGAUGGCGAAGGCAGCCAUCUGGCCUAACACUGACGCUGAGGUACGAAAGCAUGGGGAGCAAACAGGAUUAGAUACCCCAGUAGCCCUGUCUCUUAUACA
This 301-nucleotide ribosomal RNA is filed under the name uncultured bacterium. Its description in RNAcentral is "partial 16S ribosomal RNA". It matches the Rfam family "Bacterial small subunit ribosomal RNA", at positions 509 to 809 of the family's 1533-position model. The record is from RNAcentral.